AGAGUUUUGAUCCUGGCUCAGGAUAAACGCUGGCGGCGUGCAUAACACAUGCAAGUCGAACGAUGAAGAUUAAAAGAUUUCUUCGGAAUGAAUUUAAUUGGAUUAGUGGCGGACGGGUGAGUAACGCGUGAGUAACCUGCCUUGUACAAGGGGAUAGCCGUUGGAAACGACGAAUAAUACCCUAUGACAUCAAAUAAUCGCAUGAUAAUUUGAUCAAAGAUUUAUCGGUAUAAGAUGGACUCGCGUCUGAUUAGCUAGUUGGUAGGGUAAAAGCCUACCAAGGCAACGAUCAGUAGCCGGCUUGAGAGAGUGUACGGCCACAUUGGGACUGAGACACGGCCCGGACUCCUACGGGAGGCAGCAGUGGGGAAUUUUGCACAAUGGGGGAAACCCUGAUGCAGCGACGCCGCGUGAUUUAGAAGGCCUUCGGGUUGUAAAAAUCUUUUGUAUGGGAAGAAAAUGACAGUACCAUACGAAUAAGGACCGGCUAAUUACGUG
This 498-nucleotide ribosomal RNA is filed under the name uncultured Anaerococcus sp. Its description in RNAcentral is "bacterial SSU rRNA". It matches the Rfam family "Bacterial small subunit ribosomal RNA", at positions 8 to 507 of the family's 1533-position model. The record is from RNAcentral. Lineage: Bacteria; Bacillati; Bacillota; Tissierellia; Tissierellales; Peptoniphilaceae.